AGUAGGGGUUGGAAUAUUAGGCCUAGCAUGCUCUAAACCCCAUUUAUAAGCAUUAUAAACAGUUUGAGCAUUAACUUUAAUUGAUGCUUUCGCAUCAGCUAGUGUAGCAAUUUCUACUUCUGAAAGAUCUAAAUAUUGAUAAAUAGUAGAAUACCAAAAGUGAGGACCUCCUAAUUUCAUAGUUGGAUUUAACAUAGCAGACACACCAAAAAUAUGAGGGAUUGGAAAAAAAUAUUUUUUAAACUUCUUUUUCAUUUCAGUUAUUGCAAGUUCAUAAAUGUCCC
Molecule: long non-coding RNA, 284 nt
Filed under: Nicotiana benthamiana
Lineage: Eukaryota; Viridiplantae; Streptophyta; Magnoliopsida; Solanales; Solanaceae
Description: long non-coding RNA (NBEN_LNC005477)
Source: RNAcentral